UUGCUAUCUGCGAUAUGGAAGAUUCGAACCUGCCGCAGGUUCGGGUCUCACGUAGUGAGACAAUGGAGCCGCUUGCGGCGACGGCCCGAAGGGCGAGCAAAGCGAGUCAUCCUGCACGACCCACCA
RNAcentral lists this small RNA (126 nucleotides) under Salmonella enterica. RNAcentral describes it as "RtT sRNA". It matches the Rfam family "RtT RNA". From Rfam's summary of the family: This family represents a bacterial cis-regulatory element known as RtT RNA. The exact function of RtT is unknown although it is thought that it may be involved in changing the cellular response in relation to amino acid starvation. Lineage: Bacteria; Pseudomonadati; Pseudomonadota; Gammaproteobacteria; Enterobacterales; Enterobacteriaceae. The record is from RNAcentral.